RNAcentral lists this small nuclear RNA (85 nucleotides) under Sus scrofa (pig). Lineage: Eukaryota; Metazoa; Chordata; Mammalia; Artiodactyla; Suidae. The record is from RNAcentral.
AUACAAAAAUACAGUACNACAGAGAAGAUUAGAAUGGCCCCUGUGCAAGGAUAACAUGCAAAUUUGUGAAGCAUUCCAUAUUUUU